This 940-nucleotide ribosomal RNA is filed under the name uncultured Ascomycota. RNAcentral's name for it is "eukaryotic LSU rRNA". The stretch from base 291 to 940 matches the Rfam family "Eukaryotic large subunit ribosomal RNA", at positions 1 to 664 of the family's 3401-position model. Lineage: Eukaryota; Fungi; Ascomycota. The record is from RNAcentral.
AUCGAUGAAGAACGCAGCGAAAUGCGAUAAGUAGUGUGAAUUGCAGAAUUCAGUGAAUCAUCGAAUCUUUGAACGCACAUUGCGCCCCUUGGUAUUCCAUGGGGCAUGCCUGUUCGAGCGUCAUCUACACCCUCAAGCUCUGCUUGGUGUUGGGCGUCUGUCCCCGCCUCUGCGCGUGGACUCGCCCCAAAUUCAUUGGCAGCGGUGUCUUUUUGCCCCAGUCUUGCGCAGCACAUUGCGCUUGCAGAACUGCGGCGGCCCGCGAUCCAACAAGCUCCUUUCACCGUCUUUGACCUCGGAUCAGGUAGGGAUACCCGCUGAACUUAAGCAUAUCAAUAAGCGGAGGAAAAGAAACCAACAGGGAUUGCCCUAGUAACGGCGAGUGAAGCGGCAACAGCUCAAAUUUGAAAUCUGGCUCUCUUUGGGAGUCCGAGUUGUAAUUUGCAGAGGGUGCUUUGGCAUUGGCGGCGGUCUAAGUUCCUUGGAACAGGACAUCGCAGAGGGUGAGAAUCCCGUACGUGGGCGCCUGCCUUUGCCGUGUAAAGCCCCUUCGACGAGUCGAGUUGUUUGGGAAUGCAGCUCUAAAUGGGAGGUAAAUUUCUUCUAAAGCUAAAUACCGGCCAGAGACCGAUAGCGCACAAGUAGAGUGAUCGAAAGAUGAAAAGUACUUUGGAAAGAGAGUCAAAUAGCACGUGAAAUUGUUGAAAGGGAAGCGCUUGCAGCCAGACUUGCCCGCAGUUGCUCACCCAGGCUCCGGCCUGGGGCACUCUUCUGCGAGCAGGCCAGCAUCAGUUUGGGCGGUUGGAUAAAGGCCUCUGUCACGUAUCUCCCUUCGGGGUGACCUUAUAGGGGAGGCGCAAUGCAACCAGCCCGGACUGAGGUCCGCGCAUCUGCUAGGAUGCUGGCGUAAUGGCUGUAAGCGGCCCGUCUUGAAACACGG